Long non-coding RNA from Tympanuchus pallidicinctus (lesser prairie-chicken), 275 nucleotides. RefSeq lists it as uncharacterized. NCBI's taxonomy places the organism in Eukaryota, Metazoa, Chordata, Aves, Galliformes, Phasianidae. The transcript has 3 exons. The record is from RefSeq and is a predicted model, not a curated record.
AGGGCUGGACCCAGGGUAGAGCUCCUAUAAGGGCAGCCACUGAAGGGAGAGCAUCCCUUGGACUGAGGGUGCUUCUAGAGAGGGGAUGCUGUGUGGCCGGAGAACCUCUUCACCAGUUGGGACUGCCUCAAGGAUCUGACAGGAGGAAUUGAGUAUGCUGCCAAGAUAUUAAAUGAAAUUCCCCAGAAAGACAUUCAGUGCACUAAAAGAGCCUCAAAGGCAGAAAGGGAAGGAAAUGGGCAAGCUAUCAUUUUAACAAGGAUUAGACUGGGAGG